CGCGGAAUGGAGCAGAAGCAGCUCGCUUGGCUCAUACCCCAAAAGAUGCAGGUGCAAGUUCUUCUUCCGCGA
Molecule: transfer RNA, 72 nt
Filed under: Bartonella tamiae Th239
Lineage: Bacteria; Pseudomonadati; Pseudomonadota; Alphaproteobacteria; Hyphomicrobiales; Bartonellaceae
Rfam family: tRNA
About the family: Transfer RNA (tRNA) molecules are approximately 80 nucleotides in length. Their secondary structure includes four short double-helical elements and three loops (D, anti-codon, and T loops).
Source: Rfam by way of RNAcentral